GGGGGCGAUUGGCUUCGACGGAGUGCCUGAGGGGCCAGAGUGCAUGGCGAGGUUCCUCGGUUACCUCGUAAAUCCCGACCGGGGAAACACAGCUGCCAAUAACAGCUACGCACUGGCUGCCUAACUAAGGGAGCCCCUUGACCCGCGACCUCACCCGGCGCGAAGUCAGGGUAUAAAAGGGUGAUCUGGGUUCCGGUUGUGUCUCAGGGCCGGAACCCGAGAAUCUCUGGGGCUGGGUUCACCGCGCCUGUCGGUCGGCUAACGGUGAACCGAGACACAUCGACUGACUAACCAUGUAGGUCGCUGGCGCCGAACUCUUCGGACGCGGGUUCAAUUCCCGCCGCCUCCAUAU
RNAcentral lists this transfer-messenger RNA (352 nucleotides) under bacterium. RNAcentral describes it as "UBA2258 sp016867815 Standard tmRNA". It matches the Rfam family "transfer-messenger RNA". Rfam says of the family: Bacterial tmRNA, also known as 10Sa RNA or SsrA, is named for its dual tRNA and mRNA-like properties. The record is from RNAcentral. RNAcentral also lists the same sequence under 1 other name.